UCCUGUGUGUGCGGCUGCGUUGCAUGUGUAGCAGCAUGUGUGUGGAUGUGUCGUGCGCCGUUGCCGGCGUGUGUCAUUCACCGGCAACCAGUGCCUGAGUAUGAGUCAUGAGGCGGGUAACAGCGUGUGAACUUAGGAGCGGGAAGUUACCCCAGCGGUUGAGAACUGACGAGCUGUGGGUGGGUUGUGCGAACUACGUCCCGGUGUGUGGCUAGAGGUUUGGCGUCUGUGGUUUAAUUGUAGCCGUGUGACGGUGGUGUCUCUCUGGCUCUGGCGUCACCUUCGCCUGCACUGCGCAGGGCGAAGGCUCGUGGGCUCGUGUUGUAGGCGUUGGGCAGCUGGUCAUGCGGGCGCUGAGCUGAGGAGGAGCUGCGUUGGGGGUCUGUUUGCCGUGGUGCUUUAUAAGUGUGUGCUCAGGGGAGCUUGGGGUCCAGGUUUCGUAGACGGGCGGUUGGCUUGCCCUGCUGGGAGGCGAGCGUAGGGUGUCGGGCAGGGGGCCGCCCAUGCUGGAGGCGGUGGCUCCCUAGUCCCGCAACACCGGCCCUGGCCCGGUGUUGCGGUGUUGCUCUCUCUCACACGACCUAUCGUGCGUAGCUUUGUGAAAGCAUCGGAGUGAUCAACCGACUGCUGCCUCAGACUCAACACCUGGGGCCGGGCUGCGGAGCGCGUUCACGCAACCAAACUCAACCACGGGGCAUCAGUUACCAGCCGCUCGCACGCAGCCGCUGUAGCUAGCUCAAUUAAGGCCCGCUCGGCUUAGUCCACCGAGCGCCCAGCCAGCUGGGAAAGACCGCCCUCGCCCCCGGAGUCGCCAUCGACAGCUGACGAGCAGUCGACCGUCCGCCCUCUGGCCCUAGCGAGUGGCCGUCGCCAAAGCGCCUUCAGCAACACCGCAACCUCGCGAUUCGCUUCACAGCGGUCGUGGGGGAGCGGACUGGCGAUUUCGCAUCCUCGACACUCGCUAAGUGAUUCACAGCUGAGUUACUUGCGAGCUUGGGUGCACUUCUGGUGAACUGGGAGCCCAUUUGUGUGUCAGCAACAGCGGCCAAUCUUGCUUGCUUGUUCUGCACAACGACUGGGACCUGACUGGCCAGUCGGUUGGGCUGCCCUGCCGGAAGGCCGAACGCGCUUCGUGCUUGCACACCGCGCUCCGCACUUACCCGCACCGAGGCUGACUCCGGGCCCACGCCCCUGUCGCCUCCGGCACCCUCCCGCUGCAGUGCUCGCCGACCCGGCGCAGCCCGCCAGCCAGCUCUGAGCUAACCAGCCGAGCGCCACCAUCACGGGGUCAGGCAUGACCUCGCCACCCCAGUCGGACCAGGGCCGAAGCCUACGCCGCAGCCUUCGCGUGCAGGAGCGCGCCACCGCCCCUGCGGCGGCGGGCCCGUCUGCCGCUGAGCGCGUCCAGGCUCACGGCCCCGCGCGGUGGGUGGCCGCCGGGGCACCAGAAGCCGCCGCAGCGCGCGCCGCCGCUGCUGCCGCUCCCGCCCCCGCCGCCAUCCUUGCGCCCCCUGCCGCUGCCGGAGCCGCCUACGGCGUCGCUGCUGCUGCUGCGCCCGUCGCCGCCGCCGCACCCGCCUUCGCCGCCCCCGCGCAGCCGCCCGCCGCCGCUGGAGCCGCCUACGGCGUCGCUGCUGCUGCCGCACCCGCCGCCGCCGCCGCACUCGCCUUCGCCGCCCCCGCGCAGCCGCCCGCCGCCGCUGGAGCCGCCUACGGCGCCGCUGCUGCUGCCGCACCCGUCGCCGCCGCCGCACCCGCCGCCGCCGCCCCCGCGCAGCCGCUCGCCGCCGCUGGAGCCGCCCACGGCGCCGCUGCUGCUGCCGCACCCGUCGCCGCCGCCGCACCCGCCUUCGCCGCCCCCGCGCAGCCGCCCGCCGCCGCCAGGGCCGCCCACGGCGGCGCUGCUGUUACUGCGCCCGGCGCCGCCGCCGCACCCGCCUUCGCCGCCCCCGCGCAGCCGCUCGCUGCCGCCGGGGCCGCCCACGGCGGCGCUGCUGUUACUGCGCCCGUCGCCGCCGCCGCACCCGCCUUCGCCGCCCCCGCGCAGCCGCCCGCCGCUGCCGGAGCCGCCUACGGCGCCGCUGCUGCUGCUGCGCCCGUCGCCGCCGCCGCACCCGCCUUCGCCGCCCCCGCGCAGCCGCUCGCCGCCGCUGGAGCCGCCUACGGCGCCGCUGCUGCUGCCGCACCCACCGCCGCUGCCGGAGCCGCCUUCGCCGCCCCCGCGCGGCCGCCCGCCGCUGCCGGAGUCGCCUGCGGCGCCGUUGCUGCUGCCGCCGCCGGCCCCUCGGCCUCCGUCGCCGGCCUGCCUCCCCGCCACCCUGGCCGCGCGCAGUCCGCCAGCAACUUCGACCAAGCGUUACGCAGGGCUUUCGGCGCGCCGGCUGCCCCCCGCAGCGUGCGUGCCACGCCCGCGGCGGGGGUCGGGCUGCAAGGGGCCUUCCUGGCCCUGGGCGUUCCGGAUGUCCUCCGCCGCCGUGGGUGCACUUGGGCCUCCGAUGCCACGGGGUCCAGCGCCAGCUCCUACCGGCCCUCUGACAGCGCGUCGGAGACCUCCUCGACCGCGGACACCGCCUCCGGCCGCCGGCAGGCCGCUGCGCGCGAGCUCACCGAGCUGUCCCCGGCCGGCGCCAACAACGGGCGGCGCGUGUGCAACAACCCCGCCUACGAGGAAGAAGAGGAGCUGCAGGCUGCCCUCGCCCGGUCCCGUCGUGACACCGGCCACCCCAGGCCGCCGCCGCCAGCAGGCCGCGCGGCAGCGUUGCUGACUGAGACGGCCGUCACCGUGCACGAGAUGCUGGGCGGUGGCCCCACCGGUGGUCUGGCAUUGGGAGGGCUGGCGCCGGCGGCCUCCCCGCCGCGCCUGGACCGCGCGCGGCGGCGGCACCUGCUCAACCUCGCCGCCAGCAGCCGGCCGUCGGCCUCAGCGGCCUCGAGCUCCUCCGGCCGCUCCGGCAGCUCCCACUGCACCACCUCCGCCUCCGCUCGCCCCGGCAGCGAGUCCAUGCACUCCGCGCGCAGCCAGCAGCCGUCUGCGUCGCAGCACAUCCACCUGCACGUGCACCCCGGGCCUUCACCGGCCGUUGCAGCUGCCCCGCCAGCCGCCGGGGCCGACUUCUUCCCCCACCUGGGCAGCUUGCGAGCCCGGUGCGUGGCGAGGUUGGCGGCGCGCCUCCGUCGUCACGAGGCCGCCGUGGCCGCCGCAGCGGCCAUCACACCUGCCGCCGCUGCGCCUGCCGCGGCCGCGCCCCCCGCCGCUGCACCUGCCGCCGCUGCGCCUGCCGCCGCCGCGCCCGCUGCCGCCACGCCCGCCGACGACAAGGUUCAGCUGGCCAGGGUCCGCGCUGCCGCCCUCGCGCACCUUCAGCGCCUCCACGCCGCGCUCGGGCCCCCCGCGCCGGCUGCAGCCGCAACACCAGCCGCCGCCGUGCCCGCCGCUGCUGCCGCCGCUGACGCCCCUGCCCCGCCGGCAGCCGCCGCCGGGCCUGGGCCCGACGCUGCCGCGCCCCAGCCACCGGUCUCUGUCGUCAACAUGGCGUCUUCGUCCAGCUCAAGCUCGGCGCCGGCGAGCGCCGGCGGCUGCCCUCUGUGGCCGAUGCCCCUGCCGGCGUGGCAGCCGCACCUGCUGGCGCAGCUGGACCACGCCGCCGCCGCGGCUGCGCCCCCGGCGGCCGCAGCUGGGGCCCCACCGGUGGCUCUAGCUGGCGGCCGUGGCGGAGUGGCACGCAUGGGCAUGGCUGCUGCCCAUCUUGCGGCGGCGACACCCGUCAACGGGGCCCCGCUCAGCAGUGCAGGCGCCGCCUGGCCUUCGGCGGCAGCAAUGCUGCGGCCGGCGCGCCCCAUUCCCUCGUGGAGUCAGACCGGGCGGCAACAGUACGACGGCGAGCGCGCCGGGCGGGCCAGGUUCAUGGUGGACGCGCACGGCUACACUGAGGAGCAGGCGGCGUGCGCCGACAUCAACAGCCCCUAUGCGCAGGACCCGCGCCUAAUCGCCCGCGCCCUCAUCCACGGCGCGUCUGUCCCCGAGUCGCGGGCCCGGGUGUGGAACAACGGGGAGCUCGAUGGUGGCCAGCGCACGCUUGCGCGGCAUCGCGGCCGCUGGGCUGGCAGGCACGGCGGCUGGAGAGGCUGGCGCCGCGGCCGCAGCGCCCCAGUACGGGGCCGCCGGCCGCCGCGAGCGGCGCGGUGUGCCGGCCGCGGCGGCUGAGAGCGAGGAGCUGGGCCGCCUGCUGUUCCCCCGAGCCCGCACCCGGCGGCUUGACGAGACCGCCUCCGAUCUGGGGGGGCGGCGCGUGCGCAGGGCUGAGGAGGGACCGGACGGAGUGCUGGAGUACCUGGGCGCGCUGGCGCGGCCGCGGUACUUCCGCGUGCAGUGGAGUGACGGCGAGGAGCAGCAGCUGACGCUGGCGGAGGCGCGUCGGUUGCUCGCAGACUAGGUUGGCGGGGAGUGAGGAGGGUCGGGCAGGGGGCUAUUCAGAGGUUCACGAGGGAGAGGGCUAGGGGGGCGAGCGCUGGGGGGGGCAGUGGGCUUUGUGCAGCGGCUCGCAGCCUGUCUCCACCACGGCUUGGUCAGGCCUUGAGCGUCAGCCUGCCGCACCUACGCCAGAGGCGAUUCAGCGGACUGGGCUAUGGGAGGCAGUGAGCGGAGCCAGGAGCCGCCAUGGCCAUGCAUUGCCCCCAGCGGAAGGGCCGGGACAGCCGGCGCCUUGAGGAGUGUCAGCAUUUAGUAGGAGUAGCGAACGUACGGCUGUGGGGGCAGGUGGGAUUAGGCAGAGCAUGUUAGUUCAGGAGUAGGUAGGGUGCAGGCCCAAACCGCGGGACCAUAUGCGUGCGAAGUUAUGUGUGAGGCCCAACUACGGGACCUAAUGCGUGCCGUCGGUUGGCUGCGUGCGUGUGCUCGUGCCCUUGCUGUGCGUGCUGCCACCGGUCACUCGUACAACCAUGCCGUCGUUAGAACCCCGGACAUGUUUGUGGGGGGGACUUCAGCCCCCGGUGGCAGCCCUAGAGCAAAACAUGGCUGGGGCGUGACAGCUGUCGUGCGCCGUUGCCGGCGUGUGUCAUUCACCGGCAACCAGUGCCUGGGUAUGAGUCAUGAGGCGGUUAACAGUGUGUGAACUUGGGAGCGGGAAGUUACCCCAGCGGUUGAGAACUGGCGAGCUGUGGGUGGGUUGUGCGAACUACGUCUCGAUGUGUGGCUAGGGGUUUGGCGUCUGUGGUUUAGUUGUAGCCGUGUGACGGUGGUGUUUCUCUGGCUCUGGCGUCACCUUCGCCUGCACUGCGCAGGGCGAAGGCUCAUGGGCUCGUGUUGGGAGGCGUUGGGCAGCUGGUCAUGCGGGCGCUGAGCUGAGGAGGAGCUGCGUUGGGGGUCUGUUUGCCGUGGUGCUUUAUAAGAGUGUGCUCAGGGGAGCUUGGGGUCCAGGUUUCGUAGACGGGCGGUUGGCUUGCCCUGCUGGGAGGCGAGCGUAGGGUGUCGGGCAGGGGGCCGCCCAUGCUGGAGGCGGUGGCUCCCUAGUCCCGCAACACCGGCCCUGGCCCGGUGUUGCGGUGUUGCUCUCUCUCACACGACCUAUCGUGCGUAGCUUUGUGAAAGCAUCGGAGUGAUCAACCGACUGCUGCCUCAGACUCAACACCUGGGGCCGGGCUGCGGAGCGCGUUCACGCAACCAAACUCAACCACGGGGCAUCAGUUACCAGCCGCUCGCACGCAGCCGCUGUAGCUAGCUCAAUUAAGGCCCGCUCGGCUUAGUCCACCGAGCGCCCAGCCAGCUGGGAAAGACCGCCCUCGCCCCCGGAGUCGCCAUCGACAGCUGACGAGCAGUCGACCGUCCGCCCUCUGGCCCUAGCGAGUGGCCGUCGCCAAAGCGCCUUCGGCGGCAGCAAUGCUGCGGCCGGCGCGCCCCAUUCCCUCGUGGAGUCAGACCGGGCGGCAACAGUACGACGGCGAGCGCGCCGGGCGGGCCAGGUUCAUGGUGGACGCGCACGGCUACACUGAGGAGCAGGCGGCGUGCGCCGACAUCAACAGCCCCUAUGCGCAGGACCCGCGCCUAAUCGCCCGCGCCCUCAUCCACGGCGCGUCUGUCCCCGAGUCGCGGGCCCGGGUGUGGAACAACGGGGAGCUCGAUGGUGGCCAGCGCACGCUUGCGCGGCAUCGCGGCCGCUGGGCUGGCAGGCACGGCGGCUGGAGAGGCUGGCGCCGCGGCCGCAGCGCCCCAGUACGGGGCCGCCGGCCGCCGCGAGCGGCGCGGUGUGCCGGCCGCGGCGGCUGAGAGCGAGGAGCUGGGCCGCCUGCUGUUCCCCCGAGCCCGCACCCGGCGGCUUGACGAGACCGCCUCCGAUCUGGGGGGGCGGCGCGUGCGCAGGGCUGAGGAGGGACCGGACGGAGUGCUGGAGUACCUGGGCGCGCUGGCGCGGCCGCGGUACUUCCGCGUGCAGUGGAGUGACGGCGAGGAGCAGCAGCUGACGCUGGCGGAGGCGCGUCGGUUGCUCGCAGACUAGGUUGGCGGGGAGUGAGGAGGGUCGGGCAGGGGGCUAUUCAGAGGUUCACGAGGGAGAGGGCUAGGGGGGCGAGCGCUGGGGGGGGCAGUGGGCUUUGUGCAGCGGCUCGCAGCCUGUCUCCACCACGGCUUGGUCAGGCCUUGAGCGUCAGCCUGCCGCACCUACGCCAGAGGCGAUUCAGCGGACUGGGCUAUGGGAGGCAGUGAGCGGAGCCAGGAGCCGCCAUGGCCAUGCAUUGCCCCCAGCGGAAGGGCCGGGACAGCCGGCGCCUUGAGGAGUGUCAGCAUUUAGUAGGAGUAGCGAACGUACGGCUGUGGGGGCAGGUGGGAUUAGGCAGAGCAUGUUAGUUCAGGAGUAGGUAGGGUGCAGGCCCAAACCGCGGGACCAUAUGCGUGCGAAGUUAUGUGUGAGGCCCAACUACGGGACCUAAUGCGUGCCGUCGGUUGGCUGCGUGCGUGUGCUCGUGCCCUUGCUGUGCGUGCUGCCACCGGUCACUCGUACAACCAUGCCGUCGUUAGAACCCCGGACAUGUUUGUGGGGGGGACUUCAGCCCCCGGUGGCAGCCCUAGAGCAAAACAUGGCUGGGGCGUGACAGCUGUCGUGCGCCGUUGCCGGCGUGUGUCAUUCACCGGCAACCAGUGCCUGGGUAUGAGUCAUGAGGCGGUUAACAGUGUGUGAACUUGGGAGCGGGAAGUUACCCCAGCGGUUGAGAACUGGCGAGCUGUGGGUGGGUUGUGCGAACUACGUCUCGAUGUGUGGCUAGGGGUUUGGCGUCUGUGGUUUAGUUGUAGCCGUGUGACGGUGGUGUUUCUCUGGCUCUGGCGUCACCUUCGCCUGCACUGCGCAGGGCGAAGGCUCAUGGGCUCGUGUUGGGAGGCGUUGGGCAGCUGGUCAUGCGGGCGCUGAGCUGAGGAGGAGCUGCGUUGGGGGUCUGUUUGCCGUGGUGCUUUAUAAGAGUGUGCUCAGGGGAGCUUGGGGUCCAGGUUUCGUAGACGGGCGGUUGGCUUGCCCUGCUGGGAGGCGAGCGUAGGGUGUCGGGCAGGGGGCCGCCCAUGCUGGAGGCGGUGGCUCCCUAGUCCCGCAACACCGGCCCUGGCCCGGUGUUGCGGUGUUGCUCUCUCUCACACGACCUAUCGUGCGUAGCUUUGUGAAAGCAUCGGAGUGAUCAACCGACUGCUGCCUCAGACUCAACACCUGGGGCCGGGCUGCGGAGCGCGUUCACGCAACCAAACUCAACCACGGGGCAUCAGUUACCAGCCGCUCGCACGCAGCCGCUGUAGCUAGCUCAAUUAAGGCCCGCUCGGCUUAGUCCACCGAGCGCCCAGCCAGCUGGGAAAGACCGCCCUCGCCCCCGGAGUCGCCAUCGACAGCUGACGAGCAGUCGACCGUCCGCCCUCUGGCCCUAGCGAGUGGCCGUCGCCAAAGCGCCUUCAGCAACACCGC
Molecule: long non-coding RNA, 7934 nt
Filed under: Chlamydomonas reinhardtii
Lineage: Eukaryota; Viridiplantae; Chlorophyta; Chlorophyceae; Chlamydomonadales; Chlamydomonadaceae
Description: long non-coding RNA (CREI_LNC000674)
Source: RNAcentral